UUGUUCGAAAAUCACCAGCAAAGAUGAUUGGAACAAUACAAAGAAGAUUAACAUGGCCCCUAACAAAGAUGAUACGAACAAAUCGAGAAAUGAUCCAAAUUGUU
RNAcentral lists this small nuclear RNA (104 nucleotides) under Solanum tuberosum (potato). The record is from RNAcentral. Lineage: Eukaryota; Viridiplantae; Streptophyta; Magnoliopsida; Solanales; Solanaceae.